This 201-nucleotide ribosomal RNA is filed under the name uncultured bacterium. RNAcentral describes it as "partial 16S ribosomal RNA". It matches the Rfam family "Bacterial small subunit ribosomal RNA", at positions 27 to 226 of the family's 1533-position model. The record is from RNAcentral.
GGACGAACGCUGGCGGCGUGCUUAACACAUGCAAGUCGAACGGUGACCCACCCUUCGGGGUGGUGAUCAGUGGCGAACGGGUGAGUAACACGUGAGCAACCUACCCUUGGCUCUGGAAUAACCCCGGGAAACCGAGGGCUAAUACCGGGAUACGACCUCUUGCGGCAUCGCGUUGAGGUGGAAAGUUUUUCGGCCAAGGAU